GACGUAGGUGGCGAACGUUAUCCGGAAUCAUUGGGCGUAAAGGGUGCGUAGGUGGCAUGAUAAGUUAUUAGUGGGAAAUCGAGGCUCAACCUCGUGGAAGCUAGUAAUACUGUUUUGCUUGAGUACAGAAGAGGUUAAUGGAAUUCCAUGUGGAGCGGUAAAAUGUGUAGAUAUAUGGAAGAACAUCAAUAACGGCGAAGGCAGUUAACUAUUCUGUUACUGACAUUGAGGCACGAAAGCGUGGGGAGCAAAACGG
RNAcentral lists this ribosomal RNA (256 nucleotides) under uncultured bacterium. RNAcentral describes it as "partial 16S ribosomal RNA". It matches the Rfam family "Bacterial small subunit ribosomal RNA", at positions 524 to 776 of the family's 1533-position model. The record is from RNAcentral.